GACGAACGCUGGCGGCGUGCUUAACACAUGCAAGUCGAACGGAAAGGCCCUGCUUUUGUGGUGUGCUCGAGUGGCGAACGGGUGAGUAACACGUGAGUAACCUGCCCUUGACUUUGGUAUAACUUCAGGAAACUGGGGCUAAUACCGGAUAGGAGCUCCUGCUGCAUGGUGGGGGUUGGAAAGUUUCGGCGGUUGGGGAUGGACUCGCGGCUUAUCAGCUUGUUGGUGGGGUAGUGGCUUACCAAGGCUUUGACGGGUAGCCGGCCUGAGGGGGUGACCGGCAACAUUGGGACUGAGAUACGGCCCAGACUCCUACGGGAGGCAGCAGUGGGGAAUAUUGCACAAUGGGCGGAAGCCUGAUGAAGCAACGCCGCGUGCGGGAUGACGGCCUUCGGGUUGUAAACCGCUUUCGCCUGUGACGAAGCGUGAGUGACGGUAAUGGGUAAAGAAGCACCGGCUAACUACGUG
This 468-nucleotide ribosomal RNA is filed under the name uncultured bacterium. Its description in RNAcentral is "partial 16S ribosomal RNA". It matches the Rfam family "Bacterial small subunit ribosomal RNA", at positions 28 to 507 of the family's 1533-position model. The record is from RNAcentral.